This 497-nucleotide ribosomal RNA is filed under the name uncultured bacterium. Its description in RNAcentral is "partial 16S ribosomal RNA". It matches the Rfam family "Bacterial small subunit ribosomal RNA", at positions 28 to 507 of the family's 1533-position model. The record is from RNAcentral.
GAUGAACGCUGGCGGCGUGCCUAAUACAUGCAAGUCGAGCGAACGGACGAGAAGCUUGCUUCUCUGAUGUUAGCGGCGGACGGGUGAGUAACACGUGGAUAACCUACCUAUAAGACUGGGAUAACUUCGGGAAACCGGAGCUAAUACCGGAUAAUAUUUUGAACCGCAUGGUUCAAAAGUGAAAGACGGUCUUGCUGUCACUUAUAGAUGGAUCCGCGCUGCAUUAGCUAGUUGGUAAGGUAACGGCUUACCAAGGCAACGAUGCAUAGCCGACCUGAGAGGGUGGUCCGGCCACCCGGAACCUAGCACCCGUCCCGACCUCCUACGGAAGGCGGAGUUGGGAAUCUUCCGCAAUGGGCGAAAGCCUGACGGAGCAACGCCGCGUGAGUGAUGAAGGUCUUCGGAUCGUAAAACUCUGUUAUUAGGGAAGAACAUAUGUGUAAGUAACUGUGCACAUCUUGACGGUACCUAAUCAGAAAGCCACGGCUAACUACGUG